Non-coding RNA from Candidatus Peribacteria bacterium, 3936 nucleotides. Lineage: Bacteria; Candidatus Peregrinibacteriota; Candidatus Peribacteria. The record is from Rfam.
GAAGGAAAACGUUACUCAUGCGCAUCACAUGGAUGCCUCGACUCUGAAGUCCGAUGAAGGACGUGGCCAGCUGCGAUAAGCCUCGGUCAGCCGCUAGGCAGGCGCUAUCAGCCGGGGAUUUCCGAAUGGGGAAACCCAUGGAGGGUUAUACCUCCAUACUCGACUCUGUUUUUAAUUUUGGAAUGUCACACUUUUUAGCUUCUCGUUUUUCGCUUUUUCGAUGAUCUCUCGAAGAGAUUUAUCAGCGAGAAAUUUUUUUCGAUGAAUAGUUUUUCGUGUGUGUUUCCAAAAUUAAAAACAGAGUCGAGAGGUAACUCUGCGAACUGAAACAUCUCACGUAGCAGGAGAAGAGAAAUCAAUUGAGAUUCCCCAAGUAGUGGCGAGCGAAAGGGGAACAGCCCAAACCCACCUGCAAAGGUGGGGGUUGUAGGAGCCCAAUAUCCACUUGUCCAUUGUUAGACCAACGACCCUGGAACGGGCGGCCAUAGAGGGUGAUAGCCCCGUCGUCGAAAACAGCGGACAUUGGUAGGGAUUUCCUGAGUAGGGUCGGACACGUGAAAUCCGGCCUGAAUCUGGGUGGACCACCAUCCAAGGCUAAAAAGCUUCAGAGAUCAAUAGCGGAUAGUACCGUGAGGGAAAGGUGAAAAGCACCCCGGAAGGGGGAUGAAAUAGUUUCUGAAAUGUGAUGCGUCCAAGAAAUCGGAGCCCCGCACCCUUGUCAGUGGAAAAAUGUACCAUUCGGCAUUCAUUUGCUGAGUGUGUCCCACUUCCAAGGGUGCGGGGUGACGGUGUGCCUUUUGCAUAAUGAGCCAACGAGUUAGUCGUCUGUGGCAUGGCUAAGGGAUUUAUUUCCCCGGAGCCGGAGCGAAAGCGAGUCCGAAUAGGGCGUUUAUUGUCGCAGGCGCUAGACCCGAAACCGGGUGAGCUAUCCAUGGGCAGGGUGAAACUCCGCGAAAGCGGGGUGGAGGCCCGAACCAUAAUGUAUCGCAAGACAUUGGGAUGACCUGUGGAUAGGAGUGAAAAGCUUAUCGAACCCGGAGAUAGCUGGUUCUCCUCGAAAUGCCUUUAGGGGCAGCCUCGUCGUGUAUGACAGGGGGUAGAGCUACUGUUUGGAUGCGGGGGUCUUCUCGACCUACCAAAUCCUGACAAACUCCGAAUACCUGUCUUUAAAAGCGACGGGAGUGAGACGGUGACGGCGAAUCGCCAUCGUCACAAGGGAAAGAGCCCAGAUCAUUCGCUAAGGUCCCUAAGUAUUGUUGAGUGGAAAAGGUAGUGCGGUCGCUCGGACAACCAGGAGGUUGGCUUAGAAGCAGCCAUCCUUUAAAGAAAGCGUAACAGCUCACUGGUCGAGGGAUCGUGCGCCGAAAAUGUAACGGGGCAAAACAAUACACCGAAGCGGUGAGUACCGUAUCGCCUUCGGGCGAUACGAUGCGGUAGAGGAGCGUUCCGUUCAGCACUGAAGCAGAAUCGUGAGGUUCUGUGGAGCGGACGGAAGCGAGACUGUUGGCAUGAGUAACUACUAGGCAGGUGAAAAACUUGCCCGCCGAAUCCCCAAGGUUUCCCACGCAACGUUAAUCGGCGUGGGGUUAGUCGGUCCUAAGGUCAGGCCGAAAGGCGUAGCUGAUGGAUAACAGGUUAAUAUUCCUGUACCUCAUGGAGAUCGCCCAGGAGUGUCAGUUGAGAAUCCUGUGAGCCUCUGUUCUACUUCGGUAGAGCAUGUUCACCGGAAAGGAUACUUUCACUCUAGGAGCGGUGUGACGGAGAGGGAAGAUCAGAGCGUAUGCAUUGACUGUACGUGGAACACAUAAGACAUUGAUCCUGGGAGGCAAAUCCCUCAGGUGAGUCGAGUGUGGAUCCCAAAUAUCCCGCGCAAGCGGGAUGAGUCUGACUCUUUCUGCUUCCAAGAAAACCAUCGCGUCCGAGAGCUCUAUGAGACCGUACCGUAAACCAACGCCGGUGGGGUGGUCGAGAAGACCAAGGCGAACGAGUAAUCUUGCGUCAAGGAACUCGGCAAAAAAGCGUCCGUAACUUCGGGAUAAGGACUGACAGUGCCCGCAAGGGCACUGCCCGCAGCGAAAGAAUCCAGGCGACUGUUUACCAAAAACACAGGUCCCUGCGAAGCCGUAAGGCCAUGUAUAGGGGCUGAUGCCUGCCCAGUGUCAGAAGGUCACGGAAGGAGGUUUACGCUUCCGACCUAAGCCCUGAUGAACGGCGGCGAUAACUAUAAUCGUCCUAAGGUAGCGAAAUUCCUUGUCGGGUAGGGUCGAAAAACACCCCACUUCGCUCCGCUUCGCGGAGCUACGCGGGGCAUGCUUGCCCGAAUGCGGAGAAAUCCGCAGCACUGAGGAAACGAUUAUUGUUUUUGGUACGAAGUCUCAACCGUGAGACACCGGUUGAUGCCUGAUACGAAAGUUCAGGCGGAUUCAAAAGGACGUCUUUUAAAAAGAGUUUCUCGGUCUUUGGAACUCACCAUUCCAGAGAUUGUACCAGUCUGUUGGUUUCGCAUUCUUGUUACGUAGCAUGCUACGUAACAUUGCGGAAACCAUUCAAAAGUCCAGCCUACGCUCCUUCGGGAGCUACGGCCGGCAAACAGUGUAAAACACGGCCAUAUGCUGGAACAUCCCUUGUAUCCUCACAUGCUGUAAGGCCUGAGGUGGGGAAAAUCAGCAGGAAAGAUCUCAUGUUUCCAUGAGAAAUCCUCAGAGACUCGACGCCGUGCCCCUAAAAGAUUUGGGGUGAAGGGAGAGUCCGAUCCCUGUGGCGACACAGGGUGCCGCGAAAACGUGCGGCAGCGAAAGAACAAUCGUGUGUUAGCUUCUUAGCUUGUUAGCUUCUUAGCUUCUUAGGAGGCCGAGAGGCGAUCAUGUGCGAGGAGUUAGCAAUGGUAUGUGCGCUCCUGACGAGGGAGUUCUCCUCUAACCAAGGAGAGGAACGCCUAAAAAGCUCAUUAGCUAACAAGCUAAGAAGCUCGUAUGAAGUUCCGACCCGCACGAAUGGUAUAACGGUCUGGGUACUGUCUCGACGCAAGGCUCGGUGAAAUUUCAAUUCCGGUGCAAAUGCCGGAUGAACCAUGGAAGGACGAAAAGACCCUAUGAAGCUUUACUAUACGCUGGCAUUGUGUCGUUGGUUUGUUUGCGCAGUAUAGGUGGGAGGCUUUGAAUCCCUGCCUUUGGGUGGGGUGGAGCCGCAAUGUGAGAUACCACCCUUGUGUUCUGACGAUACUCACCCCAUAUGCGAAACGCAGUGGGAGACAGUGCUUGCUGGGUAGUUUAACUGGGGCGGUUGCCUCCUAAAAUGUAACGGAGGCGCGCAAAGGUCCACUAGCGCCGGAUGGAAAUCGGCGUGGUAGUGUAAUCGCACAAGUGGGCCUGACUGUGAGGCCAACAAGCCGAGCAGGGACGAAAGUCGGUGAUAGUGAUCCGGUGUCCGAGCAAUUUAACACUGCUCAAACCACGUGGGUGGGACAUCGCUCAACGGAUAAAAGUUACUCUAGGGAUAACAGGCUGAUCGCAUCCAAGCGCCCAUAGCGACGAUGCGGUUUGGCACCUCGAUGUCGGCUCAUCGCAUCCUGGGGGUGGAGAAGCUCCCAAGGGUUUGGCUGUUCGCCAAUUAAAGCGGUACGCGAGCUGGGUUCAGAACGUCGUGAGACAGUUUGGCCUCUAUCCUCCAUGGUCGUUUGGAUACGUGAGGGAAGCUACUCCUAGUACGAGAGGACCGGAGUGGACGAACCCCUGGUGUACCUGCUGUCACGUCAGUGGCAACGCAGGAUAGCUACGUUCGGACGGGAUAACCGCUGAAGGCAUCUAAGUGGGAAGCCCCUCCUGAGAUAACGUGUCCCCAUAAGCCCGCCGGAAGACUACCGGUUUGAUCGGUCACAGGUGUACGUGCAGUAAUGCAUUGAGCCGAGUGAUACGAACGGGCGAUUGUUUCAUUCAA